GAUGAACGCUGGCGGCGUGCCUAAUACAUGCAAGUCGAGCGAACAGACGAGGAGCUUGCUCCUCUGACGUUAGCGGCGGACGGGUGAGUAACACGUGGAUAACCUACCUAUAAGACUGGGAUAACUUCGGGAAACCGGAGCUAAUACCGGAUAAUAUAUUGAACCGCAUGGUUCAAUAGUGAAAGACGGUUUUGCUGUCACUUAUAGAUGGAUCCGCGCCGCAUUAGCUAGUUGGUAAGGUAACGGCUUACCAAGGCAACGAUGCGUAGCCGACCUGAGAGGGUGAUCGGCCACACUGGAACUGAGGCACGGUCCAGACUCCUACGGGAGGCAGCAGUAGGGAAUCUUCCGCGAUGGGCGAAAGCCUGACGGAGCAACGCCGCGUGAGUGAUGAAGGUCUUCGGAUCGUAAAACUCUGUUAUUAGGGAAGAACAAAUGUGUAAGUAACUAUGCACGUCUUGACGGUACCUAAUCAGAAAGCCACGGCUAACUACGUG
Molecule: ribosomal RNA, 497 nt
Filed under: uncultured bacterium
Lineage: Bacteria
Description: partial 16S ribosomal RNA
Rfam family: Bacterial small subunit ribosomal RNA
Source: RNAcentral